GGGAGGAUAACUCAACAGGUUAGAGUGUCGGUUUGUCAAGCCGGAAGUUGCGGUUCAAGUCCCGUUUCUCCCG
This 73-nucleotide transfer RNA is filed under the name Eukaryota sp. BB2. Its description in RNAcentral is "tRNA-Asp". It matches the Rfam family "tRNA". From Rfam's summary of the family: Transfer RNA (tRNA) molecules are approximately 80 nucleotides in length. The record is from RNAcentral.